GUUGCCUGCUGGUGCUGAUCAAGAGAGAGAUAUGAAUGAGAGGAGGACUCCAGAAUGGGGGGAAAACAUGAAUCUUUUUCAGGCAAUGUGCACCACUGGUUUUUGGUUUUUGUUUGUCACCACUGCAUGCGGAAUGGGCACAGGGCUGGCUACAGUUAAUAACAUUAGCCAGAUAGGAGGGUCACUUGGGUACACUAUCUUAGAGACAAAUACUUUAGUUUCUCUAUGGAGUAUCUGGAAUUUUCUUGGUCGCUUUGGAGCUGGUUAUAUUUCAGAUUAUUUCUUGC
This 287-nucleotide unclassified non-coding RNA is filed under the name Hevea brasiliensis (rubber tree). Lineage: Eukaryota; Viridiplantae; Streptophyta; Magnoliopsida; Malpighiales; Euphorbiaceae. The record is from RNAcentral.